Molecule: small RNA, 1380 nt
Filed under: Histoplasma capsulatum
Lineage: Eukaryota; Fungi; Ascomycota; Eurotiomycetes; Onygenales; Ajellomycetaceae
Also listed under: 1 other name
Description: hypothetical RNA
Source: RNAcentral
GACACUAUCUGGCGCUCAGUUGCCGUCCUCGCGGUGGGAUGAGCCGUGGGUUGAGCCUGAAUUACCCCCGCCAACUCCAAGCUACAAAUUCGAUUCCAAGAAGGGGGAGAAGACUUAUCACCUCGCUAGCACUACCCCCUUAGGAGUUCUUCCGUCGAUCAGUGUACGUCGACGACUCGGUCUCAUGCCUACCGCGAAAUCUUCCACCCCGAUUCCCGCCAAGAACAACGGCACUAAAUCUGCAAAAUCAACUCCCACGGGUGACUACAGACCGGGAACUGCCUCGACUUCUGCGGAUGAGCCUGGGCCACCAGAAAGCCCAUUCAUGCAGAGUGGGUUUCCAUCCCUUCCGAAUGGAGAGAAAAGCCUAAGUCCUACGCGCUCUACAAUGGGGAACAACAGCAUAGAACCGGAGAUCGCACCCGUUAACGGUCAUCCACUUACACCGACUUUACAUCCACUUACACCGACUUUACUCUCCACACCUCCUACGUUGAAAUAUCCACAAGAAACGAUCCUAAAAGUUGUUGACGCAGCCAUCGCUCGUGCGGAGGAGCUUAAGGAUAUAAAAGUUGCCAACGGCCUAAAACAGAUCAGGGAUGCUACUGCUAAGGAUCAAUUUCUUUUCGCUGUUCUGGAGGGUGCAUUCAGCAAGGAGGCUGGCCCCCAUGAGAAAUCACGCUUCCAGACUGUCAUGCGAGAUGCGGUCAGAAAAGAUCGAAGCAAACAUUCCACCCAUGAAGCUAUUGCGAUGACACGUACCCAGUCUUCUGCUAGUACCUCGUCAUCACUCUCCUCCGCAAAAUCACUUGAUGCCGAAACCUUCGCCCCUGCAAUGACUUCCGGUCGUGCAGCCAAUUCGGUUCCUCACAAACGCAAAGGACGACGAGCGACGGGACCACACGCCAAGGGAAAGAAGCGUUCCGUUCCUGCGAGGUCUCAAUCCGUUUUCCCAUCCUUAGAAGACGCUGAUACUCGAAAACGCAAGAGAAUGGACGAUCUAGAGUACUCGGACGAAGUUCUUGCAGCUAAGCGUUUGGCGUUGAGAAAGACCUUUAACGAUUUUCCUGUCCCAGAAAGCCACAUCCGACCUUCCAGAACCCCUGUCACUAUUGAGACCGCUUCUCCCUCACCGCAGCCAGUACCUUCAACCAGCAGCAAAAGAUCAAGAGAGAUAUUCGAGUUGAGUGAAAGUGGAGACGAAGUUGAAGUUGCUCCCGCCAUUCCACAAAAACCUCCCAAGAGAACACGGAAAUCGGCAGCGCCGCCGGAUGAAAUCGAUAACAUCGAUUUUUGUCGUCUGUGUAACGGUAGUGGCCAGCUUCUGUGUUGUGACGGAUGCAUUGACUCGUUCCAUUUCGAAUGCUUGGCGCCGCCCAU